GGUUGUAGCUCAGUGGUAGAGUGCUUGCCUAGAAUGUGUGAGGCUCUGGGUUUGAGUCUCAGCACCA
Molecule: transfer RNA, 67 nt
Filed under: Marmota monax (woodchuck)
Lineage: Eukaryota; Metazoa; Chordata; Mammalia; Rodentia; Sciuridae
Description: tRNA.Ser
Rfam family: tRNA
About the family: Transfer RNA (tRNA) molecules are approximately 80 nucleotides in length. Their secondary structure includes four short double-helical elements and three loops (D, anti-codon, and T loops).
Source: RNAcentral